UAGAGUUUGAUCCUGGCUCAGCUUGAACGCUGGCGGCAUGCCUUACACAUGCAAGUCGGACGGCAGCGCGGGCUUCGGCCUGGCGGCGAGUGGCGAACGGGUGAGUAAUACAUCGGAACAUGUCCAGUAGUNNNGGAUAGCCCGGCGAAAGCCGGAUUAAUACCGCAUACGAUCUGUGGAUGAAAGCGGGGGAUCGCAAGACCUCGCGCUAUUGGGGUGGCCGAUGGCGGAUUAGCUAGUUGGUGGGGUAAAGGCCUACCAAGGCGACGAUCCGUAGCUGGUCUGAGAGGACGACCAGCCACACUGGGACUGAGACACGGCCCAGACUCCUACGGGAGGCAGCAGUGGGGAAUUUUGGACAAUGGGCGCAAGCCUGAUCCAGCAAUGCCGCGUGUGUGAAGAAGGCCUUCGGGUUGUAAAGCACUUUUGUCCGGAAAGAAAUCCUUUUCGAUAAUACCGAGAGGGGAUGACGGUACCGGAAGAAUAAGCACCGGCUAACUACGUGCCAGCAGCCGCGGUAAUACGUAGGGUGCGAGCGUUAAUCGGAAUUACUGGGCGUAAAGCGUGCGCAGGCGGUGAUGCAAGACCGAUGUGAAAUCCCCGGGCUUAACCUGGGAACUGCAUUGGUGACUGCAUCGCUAGAGUAUGGCAGAGGGGGGUAGAAUUCCACGUGUAGCAGUGAAAUGCGUAGAGAUGUGGAGGAAUACCGAUGGCGAAG
This 718-nucleotide ribosomal RNA is filed under the name bacterium enrichment culture clone PF-1_23. RNAcentral's name for it is "bacterial SSU rRNA". It matches the Rfam family "Bacterial small subunit ribosomal RNA", at positions 1 to 720 of the family's 1533-position model. The record is from RNAcentral.